RNAcentral lists this ribosomal RNA (497 nucleotides) under uncultured bacterium. RNAcentral describes it as "partial 16S ribosomal RNA". It matches the Rfam family "Bacterial small subunit ribosomal RNA", at positions 28 to 507 of the family's 1533-position model. The record is from RNAcentral.
GAUGAACGCUGGCGGCGUGCCUAAUACAUGCAAGUCGAGCGAACAGACGAGGAGCUUGCUCCUCUGACGUUAGCGGCGGACGGGUGAGUAACACGUGGAUAACCUACCUAUAAGACUGGGAUAACUUCGGGAAACCGGAGCUAAUACCGGAUAAUAUAUUGAACCGCAUGGUUCAAUAGUGAAAGACGGUUUUGCUGUCACUUAUAGAUGGAUCCGCGCCGCAUUAGCUAGUUGGUAAGGUAACGGCUUACCAAGGCAACGAUGCGUAGCCGACCUGAGAGGGUGAUCCGCCACACUGGAACUGAGACACGGUCCAGACUCCUACGGGAGGCAGCAGUAGGGAAUCUUCCGCAAUGGGCGAAAGCCUGACGGAGCAACGCCGCGUGAGUGAUGAAGGUCUUCGGAUCCUAAAACUCUGUUAUUAGGGAAGAACAAAUGUGUAAGUAACUAUGCACGUCUUGACGGUACCUAAUCAGAAAGCCACGGCUAACUACGUG